Herpailurus yagouaroundi (jaguarundi) is the source of this 2149-nucleotide long non-coding RNA. RefSeq lists it as uncharacterized. NCBI's taxonomy places the organism in Eukaryota, Metazoa, Chordata, Mammalia, Carnivora, Felidae. The record is from RefSeq and is a predicted model, not a curated record. The transcript has 8 exons.
GGUGUUUACACAGAGAGGUGGCGAGCUCCUUAAUCGAGGGUCAGCUUUGCCAGAACAUGGUCCCGCGUGUGGCCUCCGGGCCAGGAGAUGUACAGUAAAGAGAACAGAAGAUUUGCUCCAAGCCCCCCCCACCCCACGCUCAAGCGGAGCCCUCCUAGGUCCAGCAUGCUCUUCCCAGAAGACCCCUGCGUGGACGAGUCUGAAAGCCCCAGGGAAAGCACAAAACUUUCCCAAAAAAGCCAACUGCCCUUGAGCUGGAAAAGGCACGCUUGACCUUGGGCUCCCUCACUCCACUGGUAGCGGCGUGACUCUACCUCUCUGUGCCUCGGUUUUCUCCUCCGGUAAGCGGAAUCCACGCCGUGUACGGCUUAGUCCCUGGUAGGCACUGAGGCCCAUGCCUGCUCCUGGCGCCCGCCUGGCAAAUGGUGUUCCGUAGCGGCUGGCUCCACUCCCCACACCCCCAGGCUCGGGGUCAGACUCUGAAUGAGUGCUUUGCCUCGGUGGGCUUCGUUUUGUGCUAGAAACUAUUGAGGCAUGGCUCCCUGUUCUUCAGGUAUGCGCUGAAAGCACGUGCGAGGUGGGAGUUUGGGUUAGCAUCCCUUCUCUGCUGCCUCCUUACUUGAAUUUGCCUCAGUCUCCCCAUCUGUAAAUCGGGUCUAAAAACGCCACCUCCCUUCUAGGGUCCUAGAGGAGCUUGGAUAAGAUCAUGCAAGUGAUGGACUUAUCACAGUGCCCCGUGUCUGGCAGGUGUUCACAGCAUGGUGCACAUUAGGUAUGAGAUGUUAUACCUACGGAGGUACACGUGCAUAGUAUUAGCACAGCAAAGCGUGGCCGCGGAUCCAUUAAUAGCUCAGAGGAUGAAUUCACAUUCAGCAAACCAACGUUGUUGACCGGGCACUUACUGUAUACCAGGUACUGGCUGAGCGGACUCCCAGGGGCCCUAAAGCAGGAACCCAGCCCACCCUUCUGUGAACCCUGCCCGGGGCCUGGUAAGCUGAGAGCCCUUUGUGAGGCAGGCAGGGAGCCACAGGGGGAGCAGAAUGCCAGGGGGAGGGAGGUGGGGUCAGUGCAGCUUCAUGGGAAGCUUUUCAAAGCCCGGAUUCUGAAGGGCUUCCUGUUUUCUCAAUCUAGGAAACCAGAAGAGUCGAUCCUUAAUGGAAACUUUCCACAGCCUCGGCUUUCUAAAAAUAUCUGCACAGCUGCUCAGAGGUGCAUGUAGAAAACCACAUGGAUAUACACGCACUUGGCCGAAUCUCCUCUCGAGACCCAUGCUUGGGGCAGGGAGGCUGGACCAGGAAGCCCAUGACGUGUGCUCUGGGUGAUUCUGUCCCAGACAGAAUCCUGGGACAGCUGAGGGAAGUGUCAGCAUGUCUUAUCAGCAGAGCCCAUCCCUCCAGAAUGUCCAGGCCACUGUGUGUGCGGACGGGCGUGGCAGCUGGCAGUGAAUUUGGGUGCGUUUUCAGAACAGCUUGCAGAACAGCUGCUCAGAGGUGCCUAUAGAAAACCACAUGGACAUACACGGGAACCCUUCAGAAGCCACAGCCCGAUGAGCCAGGGAGAUGUCAGGGGGCACGUAACCAACAACACCGCCGGCUGACUUCUGGUGAGUGUACUUCGUGUGCUGAAUCGAAUCGGCAUGUGCACAGCAUUCAGUCACAGCAACAGCAUCUAAACAGCCGAGGCACAGUAAGAGAGUCUUACAUAACUGGAUACACCAAGCAACAUGUACAAAACCAAAAAGGAGCUGGUCCAGUGCAGGAGCAGAACUCUCAGAGCUAGACAAAACAGCCCUGCCUCCUGCAGGCCACGGAGCUGCGAAUCAGGGCCGACUGAAGAGAGGAAAACGUACACGCUAGCUUCUGCAGCAAAGAACGUCAGAAUUACACGAGGAAUCGAUUCAAACGUAACCCUCCUUCAGGCUUUUCUACGUGCUAAAUCUGACCCGUUUCCUUCUUACAAGUGAUAGAACCUCAGUGCGCAUGCAAAUUCAUAAGACUGCACAUUUUCUUCCUGUUUUUUUUUUUUUUUUGGUUGACAGUGAAAAAAAGUUCCUAUUUUUAUAGCUCCUGCCCAGUCAGCACACGGAGGGCCCUUAAAAGGGGGUGGUGAUGAGUGUACAUGACAAGCAAUAAACUCCCCCUCUACAGCA